This 279-nucleotide ribosomal RNA is filed under the name uncultured bacterium. RNAcentral describes it as "partial 16S ribosomal RNA". It matches the Rfam family "Bacterial small subunit ribosomal RNA", at positions 506 to 784 of the family's 1533-position model. The record is from RNAcentral.
UGCCAGCCGCCGCGGUAAUACGAAGGGACCUAGCGUAGUUCGGAAUUACUGGGCUUAAAGAGUUCGUAGGUUGUUGAAAAAGUUAAUGGUGAAAUCCCAGAGCUUAACUCUGGAACUGCCAUUAAAACUUUUCAGCUAGAGUAUGAUAGAGGAAAGCAGAACUUCUAGUGUAGAGGUGAAAUUCGUAGAUAUUAGAAAGAAUACCAAUUGCGAAGGCAGCUUUCUGGAUAAUUACUGACACUGAGGAACGAAAGAAUGGGUAGCGAAGAGGAUUAGAGA